UUCAGCAAGAUAGAGUUUGAUUAUGGCUCAGGAUGAACGCUGGCGGCGUGCCUAAUACAUGCAAGUCGAGCGAACAGAUAAGGAGCUUGCUCCUUUGACGUUAGCGGCGGACGGGUGAGUAACACGUGGGUAACCUACCUAUAAGACUGGGAUAACUUCGGGAAACCGGAGCUAAUACCGGAUAACAUUUGGAACCGCAUGGUUCUAAAGUGAAAGAUGGUUUUGCUAUCACUUAUAGAUGGACCCGCGCCGUAUUAGCUAGUUGGUAAGGUAACGGCUUACCAAGGCGACGAUACGUAGCCGACCUGAGAGGGGUGAUCGCCCACACUGGGAACUGAGACACGGUCCAGACUCCUUACGGGGAGGCAGCAGUAGGGAAUCUUCCGCAAUGGGGCGGAAAGCCUGACGGAGCAACGCCGCGUGAGUGAUGAAGGGUUUCGGCUCGUAAAACUCUGUUAUUAGGGAAGAACAAACGUGUAAAGUAACUGUGCACGUCUUGACGGUACCUAAUCAGAAAGCCACGGGCAAACUACGUGCCAGCAGCCGCGGUAAUACGUAGGUGGCCAAGCGGUUAUCCGGAAUUAUUGGGCGUAAAGCGCGCGUAGGCGGUUUCUUAAGUCUGAUGUGAAAGCCCCACGGCUCAACCGUGGAGGGGUCAUUGGAAACUGGGAAACUUGAGUGCAGAAGAGGAAAGUGGAAUUCCAUGUGUAGCGGUGAAAUGCGCAGAGAUAUGGAGGAACACCAGUGGCGAAGGCGACUUUCUGGUCUGUAACUGACGCUGAUGUGCGAAAGCGUGGGGAUCAAACAGGAUUAGAUACCCUGGUAGUCCACGCCGUAAACGAUGAGUGCUAAGUGUUA
RNAcentral lists this ribosomal RNA (858 nucleotides) under bacterium MS-AsIII-64. Its description in RNAcentral is "bacterial SSU rRNA". It matches the Rfam family "Bacterial small subunit ribosomal RNA", at positions 1 to 825 of the family's 1533-position model. The record is from RNAcentral.